This 478-nucleotide ribosomal RNA is filed under the name uncultured bacterium. RNAcentral's name for it is "SSU rRNA". It matches the Rfam family "Bacterial small subunit ribosomal RNA", at positions 26 to 523 of the family's 1533-position model. The record is from RNAcentral.
AGGACGAACGCUGGCGGCGCGCCUAAAACAUGCAAGUCGAACGAGAAAUCCGGGCUUGCCCGGGUGGACAGUGGCGAACGGGUGAGUAACACGUGAGGAACCUGCCCCGAAGACCGGGACAACAUCGGGAAACCGUUGCUAAUACCGGAUACCUUCGCUUGAUCGCAUGGUCGAGCGAAGAAAUGGAUUCCGCUUCGGGAUGGCCUCGCGGCCUAUCAGCUUGUUGGUGAGGUAACGGCUCACCAAGGCAACGACGGGUAGCUGGUCUGAGAGGAUGUCCAGCCACACUGGGACUGAGACACGGCCCAGACUCCUACGGGAGGCAGCAGUUAGGAAUCUUGCGCAAUGGGCGAAAGCCUGACGCAGCGACGCCGCGUGCGGGAUGAAUGCCUUCGGGUUGUAAACCGCUUUCAGCAGGGACGAAAUUGACGGUACCUGCAGAAGAAGCCCGGCAACUACGCGCCAGCAGCCGCGGUAA